CUGUCUUGGGACGGAUCACCACUGCAAGAGGGGAAGUUGCUACUGUGAUGAAUUCUGCCAUGUGGCACCAGACUGCCACCCAGACCACAGUGUCCUCUGCAACCCUGCUUCUCAGAUGACCAAGAUGGUGCUGCAGAUGGUGCUGAGGAUGGAGAACCCACCAAGCCCCGCUAGGAGCCACCUAGACUGGAUGCAGAGCAUGAAGGAAGGCAAGAUUUCCUGGGUCCGUGAUGAUGGAAGGCUGACAACUCUUUUAUGGAGUUUGAGCUUGCUCCCAGCAGGGAAGACAAGUUCGAGUUUUUUUCCUGCUUCAAGGAUGGUAGAGAGCAGUCUUCAGCCUGAGACCCAUCCCUAGGCCCCAGCACCCGCAGAGCAGACACUGCGAUGACAACGGACGACACAGAAGUGCCCGCUAUGACUCUAGCACCGGGCCACGCCGCUCUGGAAACUCAAACGCUGAGCGCUGAGACCUCUUCUAGGGCCUCAACCCCAGCCGGCCCCAUUCCAGAAGCAGAGACCAGGGGAGCCAAGAGAAUUUCCCCUGCAAGAGAGACCAGGAGUUUCACAAAAACAUCUCCCAACUUCAUGGUGCUGAUCGCCACCUCCGUGGAGACAUCAGCCGCCAGUGGCAGCCCCGAGGGAGCUGGAAUGACCACAGUUCAGACCAUCACAGGCAGUGAUCCCGAGGAAGCCAUCUU
Molecule: small RNA, 698 nt
Filed under: Homo sapiens (human)
Lineage: Eukaryota; Metazoa; Chordata; Mammalia; Primates; Hominidae
Description: MUC20 overlapping transcript (ENSG00000280993.2)
Source: RNAcentral